Long non-coding RNA from Scylla paramamosain (green mud crab), 1447 nucleotides. RefSeq lists it as uncharacterized. The record is from RefSeq and is a predicted model, not a curated record. The transcript has 5 exons. NCBI's taxonomy places the organism in Eukaryota, Metazoa, Arthropoda, Malacostraca, Decapoda, Portunidae.
UCCUUGCGCCACGUCAGUCACCAACUCGCCGGCGUCCUCGUCACUCCCACGCGCCGCUGGAGAACCUCGCGUCUUGGGGCCACAUUCUGGAACACUUCUGUGCUGCACCUCCUCUGUUUUCAAAAGGCCGUAGUUGAGGUGACACGGGUUUUAAGAGUGUUUUCAUGGUUCUAGUGACAGAUUAACACUAUUUCUACAUUAUUAUCAAGAGAAACACUCUUGAGAACUCGGCUAAUCUCUGUGGCCUUUGAAAAUAGUCGUGGUGAAAGAGCAAAGUGUUUUUUUAAUAAUGGCCUGAUUAACUUGCCAGCGACCACGAAUUCAGCUGGGAGGGCUUGUGAACGUGUUUCCUGGUGUCUUCGCGGUGACAGGAGGUGCAGGCGUGCCAGCUGCUGCCGCAAACUCUCAUUCUCCUUCAUGAUCUCUUCAUUGAGGGAGUACUGGCGGUGCAACUUCUCCAUCAAUUCCUACAAAACCAAAGUGCAUCAAUCUGCUGUUCAUGUCAUCCUGGAACUCCUCCAAGACGUCCACCAUACAGCUGCGAAUCAAGUCCAUUUGCAGCUGUGGGACUCCAUGGCUGACAGCAGGGAUGUCUGAAAUAAGAGGCAGUGUUGUAUUUAGUGGCACUGAAGGCUGACCUAGAGAGAUGGUCUGUGGUGCGGACGGGAGAAAGCAGACUUUGGAGGAAGGCACUUUCCACUGGGACGUCAAUCUUGAAGUCAGGGAUGUUAAGACCAUCUCCCUCAGAAACCUGUGGAAAAGAGAAAGUAUUUUGAGCACAAAUGAAGCUCUUAUUACUGAUAUAAGCUGCAACAUAUUCCUACCAAUUAAAAUCACAACAGAUGUUUAAGUGAAUACAGGAGCCACUGAAGAAUUGUAUUAUGUUUAUUAGGAAGGUAGUCACAGUGUCACUUAAUACAUUUAAUACAUCUCAACACUCACUUGUUAUAGCUCUUCUGUUGAAACUUUGGAAUUCUACCAAUUUUAACUGUACAUCUAUCAACCAGGCCAGCAAUCCCACAAGGGUGGCCCAAAGCACCACUCAUGUCUUGUGGACCAGUCAUGGUAAAAAGGUGUGUGAAAGAAAAUAGCAUUAAAGUACCUACCUGUAUCUGGCUGGGCAGAUUUGUGUCCCUGACUGGUGAAAACACACUUAGAUCAAAGUCAGUAGUUUCAGGCACAGGCUGUGGCUUGGCUUCCAGCUCAGGACUCAUUGCAGUGGGGUUGUCAGAACAAGACCUGCAUACAAAAGACAAUGGGAGACUUACUUCACAGGCCGCUGAGAGGUGACAGCCAGGGAGCACGCUGCGCCGCUCCUCUGCCCGGUCUUGCUGCUGCUAACACUCUGAACAUUGGGAGCUUGUUAAUUCUAAAAUAUUAUGUCCAAUUUCUAAAGAUAUACUUGCUUUGUAAAUUCAAAUAAAAACAAUCAUGUCUUCCACUGACC